This 84-nucleotide transfer RNA is filed under the name Nanobdellota archaeon. RNAcentral describes it as "tRNA-Ser". It matches the Rfam family "tRNA". From Rfam's summary of the family: Transfer RNA (tRNA) molecules are approximately 80 nucleotides in length. Their secondary structure includes four short double-helical elements and three loops (D, anti-codon, and T loops). Lineage: Archaea; Nanobdellati; Nanobdellota. The record is from RNAcentral.
GCCGAGAUGGCACAAUCUGGUACUGCGCAAGAUUGCUAAUCUUGUUUCCUAACGGAUAUCUGGGUUCAAAUCCCAGUCUCGGCG